RNAcentral lists this long non-coding RNA (285 nucleotides) under Malus domestica (apple). Its description in RNAcentral is "long non-coding RNA (MDOM_LNC020722)". The record is from RNAcentral. Lineage: Eukaryota; Viridiplantae; Streptophyta; Magnoliopsida; Rosales; Rosaceae.
UUCUGUGGUGGAUUUGAUUUGAUGAAUUGUUGGUUGGAUUAAACCUGCUUUAGUUUUUAAUUUUGUGGUAAUUUUUGGCUGAUUGACUGUCAUGUAAUUUGGUGGUUGUUGCUAAUGACGAUGACGAUAAUGGUUAUGUUUGGUUUAGCUAAUGUUUUAGAGAAAUGUGAUUCUGGCCCUAGAAAGUUGUGUUUGUAGAAAUUGUUAGCCCUGCCCUUGCGUGAGAUGUUUGUAUAGUGAUGACAUGUGAGUGUGUGUGUGUGUGACUGCUGAGUUUACAUUGGC